RNAcentral lists this long non-coding RNA (221 nucleotides) under Lathyrus oleraceus (garden pea). RNAcentral's name for it is "Pisum sativum (pea) long non-coding RNA (PSAT_LNC002802)". The record is from RNAcentral. Lineage: Eukaryota; Viridiplantae; Streptophyta; Magnoliopsida; Fabales; Fabaceae.
AUUUUUCCUGGACUGAUUUUUUUUUCUUACAGACCAUCGGGAUACCCUAAUUUUUGCCUAAGCCACUUACUUUCAAGUUUCAAAUUAGCGAGCUUUCUUCUUUCUCUUUUUUUAUAGUUUUUUUGUGUAACAAAUUGUGUGACAUUUUUUCAUUUGGUUAAAAAAAGGGAUUGUGACUGUCUUACUUGUUUUGUUGGCGAGGGACAACCACUGGGUUUGUA